UUUAUGGCUGCUAUUCUAGAAAAUGUACCUCUGGAGCAUUGUUUUACCAUAUAUACUGAAAUCGUGAUUAUCCAAAGCUGCUAAACACCUUUGUGUAAAUAGCUCCCAGGAACAAUGAAAGGAACUCUCUCAUCAGCAGCCUUUGCUGAUUGGCUGAAGGUGCAUGCAAAUGAUGUUUUAAGAAGAUACAUGCAUUAUUUUACAUUUUCUGUUUACUGCAG
Molecule: non-coding RNA, 221 nt
Organism: Pelobates cultripes (western spadefoot toad)
Lineage: Eukaryota; Metazoa; Chordata; Amphibia; Anura; Pelobatidae
Source: the annotation of a GenBank genome assembly